UCCAGUAUAAAUGUGUCUUGCUAUAGCCCUCUGAUAUUUUGAUAAAAUAACUUUUCUCAAAUCUACUGGCAUUGCCAGUAACCAGAUGAGAAUUUCAACCAUUGAAUCCUGCAGCGCAGCACCAGGUCUGCACUUGUUUCACUUUCAUUGUGUGGGCAAGGGAGGUGCAACGGGACCUCAAAACUCAUCCUGCGGUCAUACUUGCUAUCUCUCAAGAUAGAUUCACUUAAGGUCAACUUCAUUUACUGCUGAUAUUUUUGGCUUUAUGCUUUUCUUUUAUGAGUCACUCUCUGAAAUAAGGAGCCAAAAAAUGUUCUCCCUUGGACCUGUUCUGGAUGGAGAAUCCUUUUGCCACCACUCUGAAGGAUAACUGUUCUGCUGGUGAGAACAGCCUUACCCACAGGGGUAAGCCAGAAUAUCCUCUUUGCUGUCUUGAAGAAGCUGUGGGGAGAGCAGAAGAACUCCUUCCCUGAUCUGCUCCUGGAUUCCCUAAAACUAUAUACAGCCCUUCAGUACAGGUCUGUCCCAAGGUACAGUCUGCUGCUGUCUGACAGGCUUCUCCUAUCAAGAAGUCAAGCAUUGCUCUGGAAAACAGACUUGUCUUUGUGCGGUUUCUCAUAGGAAGAUACAAGCUGUCACGAUCCCUUGCCAAUCACAUGAGAACUGACCUAGGGAGAACAUCAACU
Long non-coding RNA from Myiozetetes cayanensis, 686 nucleotides. RefSeq lists it as uncharacterized. The record is from RefSeq and is a predicted model, not a curated record. The transcript is spliced from 3 exons. NCBI's taxonomy places the organism in Eukaryota, Metazoa, Chordata, Aves, Passeriformes, Tyrannidae.